This 498-nucleotide ribosomal RNA is filed under the name uncultured bacterium. Its description in RNAcentral is "partial 16S ribosomal RNA". It matches the Rfam family "Bacterial small subunit ribosomal RNA", at positions 30 to 523 of the family's 1533-position model. The record is from RNAcentral.
AUUGAACGCUGGCGGCAUGCCUUACACAUGCAAGUCGAACGGUAACAGGUCUUCGGAUGCUGACGAGUGGCGAACGGGUGAGUAAUACAUCGGAACGUGCCUAGUAGUGGGGGAUAACUACUCGAAAAAGUGGCUAAUACCGCAUGAGAUCUACGGAUGAAAGCAGGGGAUCGCAAGACCUUGUGCUACUAGAGCGGCCGAUGGCAGAUUAGGUAGUUGGUGGGAUAAAAGCUUACCAAGCCGACGACCUGUAGCUGGUCUGAGAGGACGCUCAGCCACACUGGGACGGGGACACGGCCCAGACUCCUACGGGAGGCAGCAGUGGGGAAUGUUGGACAAUGGGCGAAAGCCUGAUCCAGCAAUGCCGCGUGCAGGAUGAAGGCCUUCGGGUUGUAAACUGCUUUUGUACGGAACGAAAAGCCCCGGGUUAAUACCCUGGGGUCAUGACGGUACCGUAAGAAUAAGCACCGGCUAACUACGUGCCAGCCGCCGCCGUAA